Molecule: non-coding RNA, 203 nt
Organism: Oryza glaberrima (African rice)
Lineage: Eukaryota; Viridiplantae; Streptophyta; Magnoliopsida; Poales; Poaceae
Source: Rfam
AAAAAGACAAAUAUUAGGUUUCCGUGUCCAACGUUUAACCGUCCGUCUUAUUUAAAAAAAUUAUAAAAAAAUUAAAAAGACAAGUCACAUAAAGUAUUAUCAUGUUUUAUCAUCUAACAAUAAUGAAAAUACUAAUUAUAAAAAAAAUUCAUAUAAGACGAACAGUUAAACGUUAGACACGGAAAUCCAGGUUUAUCAUUUUU